CAGGACUGCAGUUGACCGUACCGUAAUCCGACACAGGUAGGCGAGGCGAGCAGCCUAAGGUGCUCGAGUGAUUUACGGAAAAGGAACUCGGCAAAAUGACCCCGUAACUUCGGGAUAAGGGGUGCCGGCAGUAGCUGACCUAAUCAAGGGAAGGCGAGACCGGCCGCAGAGAAUCGUCCCAAGCGACUGUUUAGCAAAAACACAGGAGCGUGCUAAGGCAUUGUCCAAGCCAACGUAUACGCUCUGACUCCUGCCCGGUGCCGGAAGGUUAAGGCAAGUCGUCAGCCGCAAGGCGAAGCGAUGAACCGAAGCCCCGGUAAACGGCGGCCGUAACAAUAACGGUCCUAAGGUAGCGAAAUUCCUUGUCGGGUAAGUUCCGACCUGCACGAAUGGAGUAACGACUUGGGAGCUGUCUCUUCCGUAAGCUCGGCGAAAUAGAAGCAUCGGUGAGGAUUCCGAUUACCCGCGACAGGACAAAAAGACCCCAUGCACCUUUACUACAACCUGUCAUUGAUUGUCGGUAUGCGUUGCGUAGCAUAGGUGGGAGCCGGUGAAACCGGGGUUUCGGCCCUGGUGGAGGCACCAGUGAAAUACCACCCUUCGUUUACUAACAAUCUCACUCAGCCGGCAACACCGGCGAGGACCGUGGCAGGCGGGUAGUUUGACUGGGGCGGUCGCCUCCUAAAAAGUACCGGAGGCGCACAAUGGUAGGCUCAGUGCGGUCGGUAAUCGCACGUCGAGUGUAUACGCAGAAGCCAGCCUGACUGCGAGCGCGACAGCGCGAGCAGGGACGAAAGUCGGUGUAAGUGAUCCGGCGGGACCGUGUGGACGGCCCGUCGCUCAUCGGAUAAAAGGUACGCUGGGGAUAACAGGCUUAUCGCGCCCGAGAGUUCACAUCGACGGCGCGGUUUGGCACCUCGAUGUCGGCUUGUCACAUCCUGGGGCUGGAGAAGGUCCCAAGGGUCCGGCUGUUCGCCGGUUAAAGUGGCACAUGAGCUGGGUUCAGAACGUCGUGAGACAGUUCGGUCUGUAUCCGUCGUGGGCGUGGGAAUGUUGAGGGACGUCGACCUUAGUACGAGAGGACCGGGUCGAAGCGACCGCUCGUGUACGGGCUAUCCUGCCAAGGGUAUCGCCCGGUAGCGAUGUCGCGCGCAGAUAACCGCUGAAAGCAUCUAAGUGGGAAACUGUUCCCAAGAUGAACAUUCCUGGGUCUUAAGACCCCUGAAGGGCCGUGGGAGACUACCACGUUGAUAGGCGGCAGAUGUAAGGCGUGCAAGCGCUUCAGUCGAGCCGUACUAAUCGCCCGUGCAGUUUGAUCUC
This 1320-nucleotide ribosomal RNA is filed under the name metagenome. RNAcentral describes it as "bacterial LSU rRNA". It matches the Rfam family "Bacterial large subunit ribosomal RNA", at positions 1627 to 2925 of the family's 2925-position model. The record is from RNAcentral.